This 595-nucleotide ribosomal RNA is filed under the name uncultured Alphaproteobacteria bacterium. Its description in RNAcentral is "bacterial SSU rRNA". It matches the Rfam family "Bacterial small subunit ribosomal RNA", at positions 9 to 650 of the family's 1533-position model. Lineage: Bacteria; Pseudomonadati; Pseudomonadota; Alphaproteobacteria. The record is from RNAcentral.
GAGUUUGAUUCUGGCUCAGAGCGAACGCUGGCGGCAGGCCUAACACAUGCAAGUCGAACGGACCCUUCGGGGUUAGUGGCGGACGGGUGAGUAACACGUGGGAACGUGCCUUUAGGUUCGGAAUAGCUCCUGGAAACGGGUGGUAAUGCCGAAUGUGCCCUUCGGGGGAAAGAUUUAUCGCCUUUAGAGCGGCCCGCGUCUGAUUAGCUUGUUGGUGGGGUAAUGGCCCACCAAGGCUACGAUCAGUAACUGGCCUGAGAGGAUGACCAGCCACAUUGGGACUGAGACACGGCCCAAACUCCUACGGGAGGCAGCAGUGGGGAAUCUUGCGCAAUGGGCGAAAGCCUGACGCAGCCAUGCCGCGUGUAUGAUGAAGGUCUUAGGAUUGUAAAAUACUUUCACCGGUGAAGAUAAUGACUGUAGCCGGAGAAGAAGCCCCGGCUAACUUCGUGCCAGCAGCCGCGGUAAUACGAAGGGGGCUAGCGUUGCUCGGAAUUACUGGGCGUAAAGGGAGCGUAGGCGGACAUUUAAGUCAGANNUGAAAUCCCGGAGCUUAACUUCGGAACUGCCUUUGAUACUGGGUGUCUUGAGUGUG